CCGUGCCAGCAGCCGCGGUAAUACGGAGGAUGCGAGCGUUAUCCGGAUUUAUUGGGUUUAAAGGGUGCGUAGGCGNCCUGUUAAGUCAGCGGUGAAAUCUAGGAGCUUAACUCNUAAAUUGCCAUUGAUACUGGCGGGCUUGAGUGUAGAUGAGGUAGGCGGAAUGCGUGGUGUAGCGGUGGAAUGCAUAGAUAUCACGCAGAACUCCGAUUGCGAAGGCAGCUUACUAAGGUACAACUGACGCUGAAGCACGAAAGCGUGGGUAUCAAACAGGAUUAGAUACCCUGGUAGUCCACGCAGUAAACGAUGAUAACUGGGCGUAUGCGAUAUACAGUAUGCUCNUAAGCGAAAGCGUUAAGUUAUCCACCUGGGGAGUACGCCGGCAACGGUGAAACUCAAAGGAAUUGACGGGGGCCCGCACAAGCGGAGGAACAUGUGGUUUAAUUCGAUGAUACGCGAGGAACCUUACCCGGGAUUGAAAUGUAGAUGACCGCUCCUGAAAGGGAGUUUUCCUUCGGGACAUCUAUGUAGGUGCUGCAUGGUUGUCGUCAGCUCGUGCCGUGAGGUGUCGGCUUAAGUGCCAUAACGAGCGCAACCCCUGUCUACGGUUGCCAUCAGGUGAUGCUGGGAACUCCGUAGAGACUGCCGUCGUAAGGCGUGAGGAAGGUAGGGAUGACGUCAAAUCAGCACGGCCCUUACAUCCGGGGCGACACACGUGUUACAAUGGUAAGGACAAAGGGCAGCUACCUGGCGACAGGAUGCGAAUCUCUAAACCUUAUCACAGUUCGGAUCGGAGUCUGCAACUCGACUCCGUGAAGCUGGAUUCGCUAGUAAUCGCGCAUCAGCCAUGGCGCGGUGAAUACGUUCCCGGGCCUUGUACACACCGCCCGUCAAGCCAUGGGAGUCUGGAGUACCU
This 916-nucleotide ribosomal RNA is filed under the name uncultured bacterium. RNAcentral describes it as "bacterial SSU rRNA". It matches the Rfam family "Bacterial small subunit ribosomal RNA", at positions 503 to 1422 of the family's 1533-position model. The record is from RNAcentral.